This is a long non-coding RNA of Dermacentor andersoni, 1342 nucleotides long. RefSeq lists it as uncharacterized. The record is from RefSeq and is a predicted model, not a curated record. NCBI's taxonomy places the organism in Eukaryota, Metazoa, Arthropoda, Arachnida, Ixodida, Ixodidae.
UCUGCAAACAUGAAAGAAGAGAAAGUGAUAAGUUUCAGACAUUAUUGCAUCUUUUUUCAAAUAAGGAGACACCACGCAACAGGUUUCUUCUUUAUGAUAAUUGUCCAUUUAUCUGAUAACUCAAUUAUGAACUUUCUUUUGUUCCCACUUGUAAGUUUGAUACUGUACUUUAUUUCAUUCCUGUAGUCUAUAUGUAUGUGAGUGCAUUUCUUACAGGCAGAGUGUUUUUAUGGUGUCAUUACUUGGCUCAAAUUGCUGACCAGAUGAAUCGGCCAACAUGCAAAUGCCCCUCUCAAAGCAAGUAAAAUACCUUAUCUGAGCAGCCUGUAUUGAACUGAGGUUUGUUAGCAUGAAAAAAUCAUCUAAUUUACGAGAUGGCCAAGUUUCAAGUCUCGAAAGGUAAGAUGCAAAACUUUGAUUCUCUGCAGAAGCCACCAAACAAGAGAGCAGGUGAUAGCAAUCUUUACAAGUCAGACCUACAGCCUGUUCAUCACAGCACUGCUGUGGUCACAUACGUGUUUGCAACAUGGUGUCCGUUAAAAUAAGCAGACUGCACAUCUAAAUGAAAUCUCUAGUCCAGGUCACAUGUAACUACAACCCUGCAAAGGAGUCGCGAAUGUGAGAAUUGAACCCCAACAACCCCAAAAAGCUGCAACAAGUGAUUGAAGGAUAUUAGAUGCGACUUGGAAAAAGCAAAUUGCGAAUAAGCUUUACGCUCCGAAGCAGUCAUCCUGAUUAAAGUGUAUAGCUCUGGAUCAGCCAGCGACAAGUCAUUGAAGAAUAUUACGUGCAACUCGGUAAAAGCUUUACACUACCAAGCACAAAUGGUCAUCCUGGUUAAAGUAUACAACUCUUAAUCACCCAGCACUGUAUUCAAACAAACGCAAGAAAUGAAACUGGAGUACGUCUAUUGCCAUUCUUGUUUGUCAUGGCAAAGACAAAGUACUCGGUGUGUUGACCCUGAAAAGAAUGCCAACAGUUGCAGCACACUCUGGCCGCUACACGUACCCUAUGGAGAGAGCUGUACAAGUGCCAACGUAGCUUCAAGGGCUGCCUUGAUGUGCCAUGUGCACCUUCAACUGAACAGCAUGACCAAGCAAGAAACCAUAAGUGGCGUAUAAAAGGUGAAAAAAUUCUUGCAAAAUGUCGGCACUGGUUCUGUCGCUGUGCUAUUACUGGGGUUGUGGAAACUGCUCCACAUAAAUGAACAAUCCUGUGCCCAGAACCAACAUGACCGAUGGCAGUGACCCAACGUUACGCUGACAUCUUUCAAAGCAGAGUCGAAGCAACAGAAACGAAUGUAGUUGCAUCCACAAAUAAACAAUCAUGGCUUUAUUAUGUA